GGCCUUGCGCGAUGCAGGAAGUGGGACCCCUGGCGGCUAGGGCGACCAAAGGGCGGCUUCCCAGAGGAGGCCCCCCAGCUGCCUGCCCUCCCCAGCCGCUCCUGGCUUCCUGCUCUGCACGGAGCCCGCUGUGAAGCCCUGGGAACUGCGGAGGCCCCAGCCAAGGUCCAAGAUCCGCUCACUUCUUCCUGGCAAAAGCCUCUGAAGGAGGUAUUAUUGCAGCCUUCAUCUUCUAGGGGGAGGAGACAGACCGGAAAAGACUUGGCCAGCAGGAUGAUACCUGGAGUCAUGAACUUCAACCCUGUAGCAGGGGAGAGACCUCUGCGUUCCUGUAGGCUCCAAGCCUCAGCAAGGCCUGCCUCCCAGUACCCGCCUCAGCCCUUCCAGGUCCCUGUCCCCCACCUCCCCCAAGCCUGCUCCAAUCCCUGUCUGUGCAGCAGUCGCCCUGAGGCCGUGUCAGCUGUGUCUGCCUAGACAAACCUGAAGGAUUUUCCUCAGUGACUGCAAACCUCAUUUUAUCAGCCUUCAGGUUCUCAAUCUUCUGCAGGGGCCACAGACUUGGAAAGAGGCUCUAGCCCUCGGCUCUGCAGGAGAAGACAUUUGAUUUUGUUAGGUCCAGAGGGUCCUACUCUAGGGAACCUGUGGAAUGAACCAGGUGUCAUGUGGCUACUCCUCUGUAGUGAGUGACCUGAGUACUCUGUCCACGACCGGGGCUAAGGAGACCAGCUCGGUGGAGUGUAAAUGAUACUACUGGCCCAAGUCACAGUUGAGGAAACUGAGGCCCAGCUUGCCCCACCCAGUUCAUCGAGGGAUUUAACAGAGUCAGGACAUGGAUCGGCAUGUCCUGCCCCGCUGAGCUGGGGCUCAGACGUGCUGCUGGCUCUGCUGUACCUCCUGUCCUUCCCCCUGUCACCUCUCCCACAUCCCACAAGCCCCCAGCUCACUACUAAUGGUAGAGACACAAAAGAUGAAUAGAACAUAGUCUUGACCCUCUGGCUGAGCAAAUGCUAAGCUAAAUGGUAGAUCUGGGGGCCCCAGCAUAAGGCUGGUCUAUGUAAUCAGCUGUCACUGCCCAUGAUGGACAUUGCUAAUCAGUCACAGCGUUCUCUGUGUUUAAAGCUCAGAUUUUGAGUCGUUGGAGAUUUAAAUAAAAAUUUGCUAGAAUUUCCUCCCUCACAUUUUGUGGAAAUCUGAUGAUAUCUCCAAGAUUUCUUCAA
Molecule: long non-coding RNA, 1217 nt
Organism: Canis lupus familiaris (dog)
Lineage: Eukaryota; Metazoa; Chordata; Mammalia; Carnivora; Canidae
Exons: 5
Source: RefSeq, a predicted model, not a curated record